AUAUAUGAAAAAUGGUACCUAAUGAAAAUACAUUUAAAACAAGAAAUAAGUCAAUGAAAGACAAUAAAAGACAAGAGUAACUUAGGUCAGGUUGAUAUUGUUGUAACUUAUUCUAUCUAUGUGUAAUAGUUUUUUUUAGAUUUGUGGAUACAUUUUUAAAAGAAGCAUACUAGUAGGUAUAUUAUGCGUACUUUUAAAUGAAUGAUGCUAAACUAAUUAAUAAACAUGACGCAAUUUUGAAGUUUUUCAACACAUUCUUUAUUCAUAUGUAGUAAACGAAUCCCCUUGAAACGUGUAUGAUUAUUUUUUCUGACAAAAUAAAAAUCGUUCUUUGAGAAACGACGAUAAUAUUAUCGAGAUUUACAUACACAUUUAAUAGGAAGCCUUGAGGGAUUUAUCGCCAUUUAACAAGAUGGGACGACAAUCUAAGUCUGUGCAUUAAAAUAUAAUAAACUAUGGUAAUAAUGAAUAUAAAAUACAAUACAUAAUUAAAUACGCAGAUCGAUUAUUUUAAUUCAUUUAAACUUACGAUAUCUAAUUGAGUGUUUUUAAACGAAGAUAUUUAAGAUGAAAAUACAAAAUUAACCAAUCUAAUAUUCUAAAUUAAAAUUAAAUAGCAUUUCAUUUAUGUUAGUGAUAAGACUUAAUCACGCAUUUUUCGCAUAUCGCAAUUCGCCAGUGAGUGUACUAAACAGUACUCUGACUGCUCGCGCUGUCGACUGUUUUGAGUCAUGCGUCGGUCAUAAUACGAAUACAUGCGUUGUACUCUUUUGGAAGUUCGAACACGCGAAAUCGUUUUUUCGAUAGUGGGCAAACGCUAUAUUUAAAUAUAUCAUUUUCACCCCGAGUAAAAGAACACAUUUCAAUACCGUGGUCGUUCGUAAAACACAUUUACGAUAUAUUUUGGAAAAAUCUAUACAAUUCGGUAUCCAGGACAUCCUUGUAAAACUAAGAGGACCUGAGGUGUGGUCAAUCACGGGAAUUAUGGGAUGUCUAUAAUAUUUUACAAAUAUUACUUUUUUAAUACCGGAGUCCGGAGAAUCAAGUUGUAAGAAGGGGAUGGGGUCUAGACUGAUUCACUUGGAAUCUUCAAUAACAUUUAAAAUAAUAGUAUCAAUUUUAUAAGUAUACAGUUAAAAUGAUUUAUAUGCCACAUUUAAAAAUGAACUCUAAAAAGUCGUAUUAUAGUAUUUAGUUUAAAAAUUGUCAACGUUUUAUAUACCUAACUUAUUGGUAUUUGGUACGAUGACAUACACGUCACAUGCCGAUUUAAAAUAAUAAAUUAAAGCUACCAAGUGGAUUCUGUAUGUAAAAAAGUACCAUUCGAAUAUACCAUAUACCUAUAAGUAUAAAUCUGACUUUUUUUCCAACUCAAAAUUGAAAUAAUAUACUCAGUGAGUAUAGUGAAAGGGGCCGACCAUGAAAAUAAGUAAUGUAUAUGCCACCAGCAAAGUGCCAAAAUGAGGUAGGUACUAUAACUUUUAAGUACACGCCUUCAAUGUUACCUCUCGCUUUAUUUUAUUAUUUGUAUUAUAUGUGGAAUAUAUAUAUACUGUUGACAUGUGUCUAAAUAGUAAAAGUUGAAUGUUUUGUAGGUUCUACAUAAAAAUAGAGUUAUAAUAGUAAGUAAUAAUAUACUAAAAAAAUAUAAUGAAAGGAAGGAUUUCAAUUGACUGAUAUUUUAUCAAUAUCAUUAUUGCUAUACAUCUUUGAUUGUAAGUGAUCAAUGAAUUAGUGUAGGCGAAUGUAAAGCGAUGAGUGAUUGAGUUAACCGAUCAAAAUUAUUAUAGGCAAAGUGUUUUUACACUACAGGAGGUCUUUAAAAUAAAGAGAAUGCAAACUAUUAAUCAAGUACUUUAUGUUGUAUGGUUUAGUAAAUCAUAUUUAAAACAACAAAAACCAAUAAUCUCUCAUGAGAUUAAAAAAAAAUCAAUAUAUCAUUCUUAUUUAGUAAUUUAAUUUUUAUAAUUAGGUACCUAAUGUAUGUUUAAUACAAUCUACCUAUACUUUAGACUUUAAAUUAUGUACAUAAAUAUAUAAGUAUAACAUUACUAGUAUAAAGUAAUACAUU
Long non-coding RNA from Myzus persicae (green peach aphid), 2071 nucleotides. RefSeq lists it as uncharacterized. The record is from RefSeq and is a predicted model, not a curated record. NCBI's taxonomy places the organism in Eukaryota, Metazoa, Arthropoda, Insecta, Hemiptera, Aphididae. The transcript has 3 exons.